RNAcentral lists this long non-coding RNA (625 nucleotides) under Citrus x clementina. RNAcentral describes it as "Citrus clementina (C. clementina) long non-coding RNA (CCLE_LNC001982)". Lineage: Eukaryota; Viridiplantae; Streptophyta; Magnoliopsida; Sapindales; Rutaceae. The record is from RNAcentral.
AUUAAUUCAAAUUUCCCAUGGUUAAAAUAUAUAUGUCGUGUUUUAAAUGCUAUAAGCUAAUUCAAAACACGUGAGAAGAUUUUACUGGAUGAGUAAGUAAACUUAUUUGGACACUAGAACUUACUUAUCAUGCUCUGAGGACUGUUCCAGUUGAUGAUUGAAGGCCCAUUUUGACCCCAUUCUGGUCGGAGUCUGAGAAAAACAGAAUAUUUAAUUAAUUAAGUAUCAGUUGGGAUUCUUGAUUGAUGGCAAUUGAAUUUGUAUAUCAAGUUAAUAAAUGUGUCAAUAAAACCCUAACAAUGGUGUAAAUAUAUACUCACCGAGUGGUCUGUUGGAUACAAAAAAGCAUGCUCCAAUAACAAAGUAGCAUAGCAGAAGAACAAAUCCUUUCAUGUAAUGAGAAGUUCCAUCCUGAAAAAUUAACAAUAAAAGAGUACUUAAUAUUUCUGAUUGAACUAUGAGCACAAGUUUUACAAAAAAAAAAAAAAGGAUUAAUAGUGUAAAUUAAUUACCUGUAGAGUGAAGGCUGUGGCAAUAAUUGCUAGAGCAAGAGAGCCAGUCUCAAGGAGAUUGAAGUUAAGAUCCAUUGUAAUCCCCAUAAUCCAAGAAAUAAUCACGCACAAUG